This 479-nucleotide ribosomal RNA is filed under the name uncultured organism. RNAcentral describes it as "partial 16S ribosomal RNA". It matches the Rfam family "Bacterial small subunit ribosomal RNA", at positions 331 to 801 of the family's 1533-position model. The record is from RNAcentral.
GUACACUCCUACGGGAGGCAGCAGUGGGGAAUAUUGCACAAUGGGCGCAAGCCUGAUGCAGCCAUGCCGCGUGUAUGAAGAAGGCCUUCGGGUUGUAAAGUACUUUCAGCGGGGAGGAAGGCAAUACGGUUAAUAACCGUGUUGAUUGACGUUACCCGCAGAAGAAGCACCGGCUAACUCCGUGCCAGCAGCCGCGGUAAUACGGAGGGUGCAAGCGUUAAUCGGAAUUACUGGGCGUAAAGCGCACGCAGGCGGUCUGUCAAGUCGGAUGUGAAAUCCCCGGGCUCAACCUGGGAACUGCAUUCGAAACUGGCAGGCUUGAGUCUUGUAGAGGGGGGUAGAAUUCCAGGUGUAGCGGUGAAAUGCGUAGAGAUCUGGAGGAAUACCGGUGGCGAAGGCGGCCCCCUGGACAAAGACUGACGCUCAGGUGCGAAAGCGUGGGGAGCAAACAGGAUUAGAUACCCCAGUAGUCCCAUGAU